AUGACCUCGAAAUUCCGUCAGACUCCGACAAGAAUCUGCAUACGGUUUACAGAUUAAACGUAGGAGGCAAGAAUAUCACACCAGAAAACGACACCUUGGGAAGAACUUGGUCAGUUGACGAGGACUUCCUCUACGAAAAAGAUUCUGCGAGGAACAUUAAUUCAACACAAAAGCCUAACUACGAGUCAGGGACAGCGACGCCAUUCACUGCUCCUGAUUUUGUCUAUCAGACAGCGAAAACGAUGAACCAUAGCUCGAAUGAGGGGAUGGCAGAUGGGAUGUUGAUGAACGUUACUUGGUCAUUUAAGGUCAAUAGCAACUCUAGACACUUCAUCAGGGUUCACUUCUGUGAUAUCAAGAGUGAAUCACAAAAUCCCGACUCCGAUUUCUAUCUCUAUGUAAACGGACAAUCACGACUAGAUGUAAAGCCUUCAGAGCGUAUUAGGUUGGUGACUCCGUUUUUCAAAGAUGUGAAUGUCUCUGAUGGUUUUGGACUCUUGAAUGUUACAAUAGGUACUAAGGAUUCCACUAAGGAUGCUGGUUUUCUGAAUGGUCUGGAGGUGAUGGAGUUUUUGAAAAAGUCAGAUUCUUCAGAUAAAAGUAGUUUCCGGGUUUACAUCAUCGCUGGCUGUGUUGUUGCUGCAUCGGUUCUGGUAUUGAGUUUGUUGUUCACAGUUUUCUUGAAGCGGAGGAGAUCGAAGAAGGAGAAUAAGUCAGACGCUGAGGUCACUGAAUGGUCUCCUUUGCCAUUGUACAGAGGUGGUGGGAGUUCCGACAAUAGACCUUCUGAUCCGGUCAACAAUUCUCCAUUACGCAGCAAUAGAACUUUUGAUCCGGUCCAUAAUUCGCCAUUACGCAACCUAAACUUAGGCUUGACCAUUCCCUUCAUAGACAUUAUGAGAGCUACAAACAAUUUCGAUGAGCAGUGGUUGAUCGGGAGAGGCGGUUUUGGAGACGUUUACAAAGCCAUUCUUCAAGAUGGAAGCAAAGCGGCUAUCAAGAGAGGCAAGAGUGGUUCAGGACAAGGACUAUUGGAGUUUCAAACAGAGAUUCAAGUCCUGUCGAGAAUCCGGCACAGGCACCUCGUUUCUCUAACGGGUUACUGCGAAGAGAACUCGGAGAUGAUCCUUGUCUACGAGUUUAUGGAGAAAGGUACGCUUAAAGAGCAUCUAUACGGCUCGGAUUUGCCUUCACUGACAUGGAAACAGAGACUAGAGAUUUGCAUCGGAGCAGCUAGAGGUUUGCAUUAUCUCCACAGUGGCUCAGAAGGAGCAAUCAUUCACAGAGAUGUCAAAUCCACAAACAUACUACUAGACGAGAACACCGUAGCCAAAGUCGCGGAUUUCGGGCUCUCAAACUCGCGGUUCGUAAUCAAGAUCCAAUCAAUAUCAGCACUAACAUCAAAGGAACAUUCGGUUACCUCGAUCCUGAGUAUCUGCAGACACACAUCUUGACGGAGAAAUCAGAUGUUUACGCUUUCGGAGUCGUUCUCCUCGAGGUCCUGUGCGCGAGAUCGGCUCUCGAUCCUUCUCUUCCUCACGAGGAAGUGAAUCUAGCGGAGUGGGCGAUGUUCUGCAAAUCCAAAGGGAUAAUCGAUGAGAUCUUAGAUCCGAAAUUGAUAGGUCAGAUCGAGCCGAGUUCGUUGAGGAAAUACAUGGAAAUCGCGGAGAAGUGUUUGAAAGAGUACGGCGACGAGAGGCCGAGCAUGGGGGAUGUGAUCUGGGAUCUGGAGUAUGUUCUUCAGCUUCAGAUGAUGCCGAUUCGCAGAGAGCCUCACGAGGAUAGCGCCGCGACGAUCUCCGGCGGCGGAGGCGAAAGCUCGUUGGUGAUUCCGAGGUUGAUGGUGAGUGAUUCGUUUAGCUCAAACUCGAUUGUUCAGAAGAACGAAGGGAAGAGUAGCUAUGGAGGUACAGAUUCAUCGGAGAGUCGAGUUUUCUCCCAAUUGAAGAUCUCCGAAGCAAGAUAAAAUUUCCUAUGAAACAUUCUGAUUUGAAAAGCGUCUGGUUUAAAGCUUUUGAUAUUAAAAACCGGUUAUUGCCGGUUUAAAUAUAAUCAUUUUAAAACAUAUGCAAAGUAACGAGUCAAUUGAAUGUAAUAUAAAAUUAAAACCCGGUUAUCGUCGGUUUAAAGUUAAUUAUUCUAAGACAAAUGCUAAUUUCCGAAUCGAAAAACAAUUCAAUUUAAUUAACCGAUAAAAACCUAAUUUCAAGAAAAGUUCUGAUUUGAUAAGUGAUUGGUUUAAUUUUUGAAAUUGAAACCCGGUUCCUGCCGGUAUAACGACUCAGCUGUUUGUGAUGUCGGCGAUGAACGAGUCCAGAUUCCGAGCCGAUGAUCCACCAGACGCCAACGCCGAUCUCGCCGCGUGCUUCAGCUCCGUCACUCUCCUCCUCAUAUCCGCGGCGGCAGAUCCUUCCCUCACGGCCUCAAUACAUCUCUCCACCUCUUCAACCUUAAGCUCUCCGUCGACAGCGUCGUUCCUCAUCCUCACUCCGAUCCCGAACACAUCCACAAGCAAUCUCGCGUCAAGCGGCUGAUCAAUCCAGCUCGGGUACGCCACCACCGGAACACCAGUCACCACCGUCUCCAUCGUCGAGUUCCAUCCACAGUGCGUGACGAAACAAGAGAUCGCCACGUGACUCAGUAUCCACUCUUGUGGACCCCACUCAAUCACAAUACCUUGACCUUCUCUAACCAUCUCCUGCAAAACGUCGACGUUUUCGCCUUUCUCCUUUGGCCUAAUCACCCAGAGAAACGAAACUCCUCUGUUUCUCAGAGCCGUUGCUAUGCUCUUAACUUGAGUCUCCGAAGAUUUCAGCAAACUUCCAAAAGAAAUGUAAACAACCGAAGACCUAGCUUGCUUGUCAAGCCACUCCAUACAAUACUCAUCCGAUUUCCACAUAUCAAGAUUUUUACCAUCUAGGGUUUUGUCUUCUUCAUCAGCUCCCAACAGAAAUGGAGAAACCAGAGGACCAAUUGGGAUCAUGGGUUUUAAACCAGACAUCGAUUCGAUUAUCUCUGAUUCGAGCUCGUAGAACGAAUUAACCAAAACCCAUUUCACAUCUUUCAAGCAAUCGACGAACUCCACCAUUAGGCUAUUGAAAUGACUUCCUGAAGAAGGCAAGAGAAACGAAGGGAGAUCUCCAACUUCCAACAAUGGUAAACCUGGCAAUUCAACCGUUUGAUUCAAAUCUUCGAGAUUCUCAGGGAAAGCAUUCGUCUUCAUGUAGUAACGGUAAUAAACCGAGAAAGCUCCACAAGCUUCGAUCCAGAGGAUUGCACAGGGGAUGUUAUAUGCAGCUGCAACACUUGGAACCCAUGGAGCAAAAGGCACAGUGACGAUGCAAGAGAAUCUCUUUGAUUCGACGAUUUUAGACAAGUUCUUGGCUCCGACUUUUUUCAACGAUGGUAUGAGAGAAUCUGCGGCUCUUGUGUGGUCUUUAGGCAGACCGUCGGGGAAGAAAGCAAGGUCCACUGGGCUACGGUGAUGUUCUUCGGCGGCGGUGGUGGUGGAGAGGAGGUCACGGGUUUUCUCGGUGGUAGCGAGAGUGAAGCUAAGGUUUGGUCGUGAGAGAUGUUUGGCGAAUUUGAGCAUUGGAUUAAGAUGACCUUGAAAUGGUAGUGCUACCAAUAGAACAUGUGUUUCUUGACCCUCACUAUUUCUCAUUUCUGCUUUGUUUAGAGGUGUUACUUAUUAGACUUGAGUUGUGUAUGAGAUUGUGUGUAACUUGUAAUUGUGGUGGUAUAUAUAACAAUGGUUGCUUAACGAUAGAUUUUUGCUUAAAAUGAAGUUAUUAAGUGAGAUUUUGGUAAGAAAAAUCUAUAUAUAGUAAAAAUUGGUAACCCAAUAAAAUGUAAUAGAUUCAAAAGUUACCACGUUUAUUAGCACCCUGCGCCUUGUCCUUAACUCAAUUCAAAUCUUGUAUAAUUGUUGACCAAAAAAACACGAUAUAUAUACCAAUUCUAGUAUGGUUAAAGUCAACAGUCAUUACUAAUGAUUUAUGAAUCUUUUUGUAUAGUGUGACACUGAGAUCAUUGUAAUUUGUUAAUGACAAUCUAUAAACUGUAAUUGGUAAUCCAAUAAACGUUGGUCAAUAAAUUCAAAUUUAAUCAUGUGUUUCUAUGCUCUUGUAAAUAAAUAAAUAUAUGUUAUUUUCAAUUGUGUUAUGGUUAUGAUUAGAUUUAUAUAAAAAAUAUGGUUAUGAUUAGAUUUAUAUAAAAAAAAACAGGUCUCAAUUCAUUCGGAUCAGUCUCGUUUGUAUCUGUCUCACUUUUAGAUUUGAAAUCCGUUAAGCUCUAUUUAGUUUUUGGAACUAACAGAGUAAUCGGUUUAUACAUGCCAAAAUUCUUUUAAUCUAUUUAAAACCAUUUACGAUAUGAUGCUUAAACAUUCUUAAUAUUUAUUUUAAAUUAUAUAAACUAAGCUUUUGGAAGCUAAUCAGAAGCUAACACACCAGUAUAAUUACCAUUGUUUUUUUAUUAAAUAAUAAUUACCAAUGUUUCAAGGCAUGCUUGAAUAUUCCACUAAGAAAAAUCAUCGAAAUUGUUUAUACUAAUCUAAAAUCCUAGCAAAGGUGGGUGAAUCUUUUUUUUUAAAUAGUUAUACAUAUUUUCGAGAUGACAAAAUUUAACAAUAUGAUAAAAUCAUAUGAACACUCGAACAUUUAUGUAGAUUUUAGUUAUGUUAUAUAUCCAAGAAGAAAUGAAUAAUAUUAAGUAACAUCUAUUACAAAUAACAUAUCAAUUGGUAACAUCAGAUGGCAAAUCAAAUAACAUCAUUACGUAGUAAAUUCAUGUGCAUGCGUUACUAGCUAAGCUUGUAUUCACUUUAUAAAAGAAAAUACAAAAUAGCAAUAGCAAUAAUGAAGGGAAGAGCAGCUACGGAGGUACAGAUUCAUUGAUCGAAGAGUCGAGUUUUCUCCCAAUUGAAGAUCUCUGAAGCAAGAAAACAAAUAAUCUCUUGAAUCCUUCUGAUUUAAAUACCGACUGGUUUUAACUUUUGAUAAUAAAAUCCGGUUAUUGCCGGUUUAAAUAUAAACAUUUUUUUAAGUCGACAAAAAAAAACAUUUCAAAACAGAUGUAAAGUGAGUCAACACUAUGAUCGAUGACUUUCUAGUUGAUGAGAAACGUGCACAAAAAGAAAAGGGUAACACUAUGAUCGAUCACUUGCUUUCUCUCCAAGAAACUCAACCAGAUUAUUAUACGGAUGUCAUCGUCAAAGGACUCAUAGUUGUAAGUAUUGAGGAAUACAUUUAAUACAUCACUAACAACUAACAAGGCUAACUAAGCUUUUUAUAAUGACUAAUUCUUGACUUCUAUUUGGAUAGGUUAUGAUAUUUGCCGGAAAUGUAACAAGAACGUUAGAAUGGGCGAUGCUAAAUCUGUUGAACCAUCCAGAAGUACUAAAGAAAGCGAGGAUUGAAAUCGAUACAAACAUUGGUUUGGACAGGUUAAUAGAUGAACAGGAUGCGAAAAGUCUUCCUUACCUCCAAUGCAUCAUAUCAGAGAUUUUUCGACUUUACCCGGCAGCUCCUUUACUUGCUCCUCAUAGGGCUACAGAUGAUUGUAUAGUUGGAGGCUACGACUUCCCUCUUGGCACGACAUUAAUCGUGAACGUAUGGGCCGGCCAUUCACCGAGACCCAAACAUAUGGUAAGAGCCAGAAAAGUUCAAGUUAGAGCGGUUCGAGAAGAAAGGAGAAGAACAAAAGUUGAUGCCGUUUGGAAUGGGACGACGAGCUUGUCCCGGGUCUGGUCUAGCUCAACGGGUCGUGAGUUUGGCUCUCGGAUCGAUGAUUCAAUGUUUUGAAUGGGAGAGACUUGGAGAAGAAUAUGUUGACCUAAGCGAAGCAACCACAAUGCGUCCAACGACGCCGUUGCUAGCCAUGUGUAGAGCUUGUCCUAUUGUUCAUAAGAUUUUCAAUACUUCUUUUUGAGAUGUCACUCCCUUUUUAAAAAAUAUGUAUAUCCAUUUAUGUUAUAUCCAUUUUGAGAUGUAAUUAAAAUGAAAGACAAAGACUAGUCUUUGAUUUGCCUUAAGAUUUUCCAUUUUAUUAAAAUUCAAAAACUAUUUUUUUUUUUCAAAAACCAAAAUUUAGAAGUUAAAUGCUACUCCAUUAUCAAAUAAACUCACUUCUAAAUUUCUAUGAAUGAGGAGUAGUUUUUUACUUUGAGAAAGUGUGAAGAAAUUUUUCCAAUUUCUUAGUUUUUGUUUGUUUUUUUUUGAGAAAGGGUUAAGAAAAGGGAGCUUGUUUUAUAAUGGAAUCUCUCAUGCAAUUAUUCCCACCUGUCACUAGAGAUAUGUUCGUAACUUCGUAACGUCUCAUGCAAUUACUGACUAAUAAACAUGUGUGAUAAGUCACCAUUAAUAUUUAUUGUCUAUUUCUUUUGCUUUUAAUUAUUAGGGUUUUGAGUAGAAAUUUGUUUCUUUCUAAUAUUAUAGACAAUAUAUAUUGCUAGCGUUUACGUUUUUUAUUUUGGUUCAAAACAUAGUGGUUAAAAAUAAACAAAUCAUAAAUUUUUAUUAUUAGUCAUUAAUGAAUGAGAGACGUUACGAACAUAUCUUUAGUUUAUUAAAAAAAAAAAAAGAUAUCUUUAGUGACAGGUGUGAUAAUUGCAUGAGAGUUUUCAUUAUAAACUAAGCUACAUAAACUAAUAACUCCCACGUUCGAUUCAACACAUUUACAACAAGAAGAAGUUCUUGAUCUAAAAUGGAAACUUAUUUUCUUAUUUUAUCCCUCGCCAUCUUCUUUUUCAUUUCUCUUAAACUUUUGUUUAAUAAACCGCAUAACAAGUUUAACCUACCACCAAGUCCGGCGAGGCCACUACCGUUGAUUGGACACCUUCACCUCCUGAAGCAGCCUCUCCACCGCACAUUCCUAUCUUUCUCUCAAUCCCUCGGCAGUGCCCCAAUUUUCUCCCUCCGUCUUGGAAACCGUCUCGCGGUUGUCGUCUCCUCCUACUCCAUCGCAGAAGAAUGCUUCACGAAAAACGACAUCGUUUUGGCUAACCGACCAGAGUCCAUAGUCGGGAAAUACAUUGAGUACAACUUCACCACUGUGACCAGCGCGCCUUAUGGUGACCACUGGCGAAACUUGCGGCGUCUCAGCACCCUCGAGAUCUUCUCCUCGCACAAGCUCAAUGGCUUUAUAUCCGUCCGUAAGGACGAGAUCCGACACUUGCUACUUCGUCUCUCCAAAAACUCGCAACAUGUAUGUGAGCUUCUACAUAUUAGUACUCUAUGACUAUAUACAUUAUCAGAGUUUGUAACCUAGUAGUUUGUCUUAGUGUGGCCUCUAGGUCAUAACCUAUAUAUAUACAUUACUUGAAGAUCUGCUCAGAGUUUGUAACCUAGUAGUGUGGCCACUAAAUUAAAAGUCAUAACUUGAGUACCAUGCAACAAAAGUUUGAGAAUUAAUCAUUUGUUUAUUUGAUAAUAAAUUAGGGGUUUGCCAAGGUGGAGAUGAGAUCAUUGUUUAUGGAUUUGACUAUCAAUAACAUUCUCAGAAUGAUGGCUGGGAAAAGAUUUUAUGGUGAUGGAACAGAGCAAGACGACAAUGCACGGCGAGUGAGACAGCUUAUUGACGAGGUGGUAUCCUACGCCGGCGCCGGGAAUGCUACCGAUUAUAUCCCAAUCUUGCGUUGGAUCACAAGUUUUGAGAAACGGGUCAAGAACUUAGCGGGUCGGGUCGAUGAGUUCUUGCAGAGCCUGGUGGAUGAAAAACGUGCGGAUAAAGAAAAGGGCGACACUAUGAUGGAUCACUUGCUUUCUCUCCAAGAAAUCCAGCCUAAUUAUUACACAGAUAUCACUCUAAAGGGGAUUAUAGUUGUAAGUAUUUAUUUUCUACAUUUAUUAAUCUUGAAUAAUCUAUUUAAUAUAUAACAACACAAACUAAACAUUUGUUAAUUUAAUUUUUACAGGUUAUGAUACUUGCCGGAACUGAAACACUAACAGGAACAUUAGAAUGGGCUAUGUUGAAUUUGUUGAAUCAUCCAGAGGUAUUAACGAAAGUAAGAACCGAAAUCGAUACCAAAAUCGGUUUUGACCGGUUAAUAGAUGAACAAGAUAUUAAAAAGCUCCCUUAUCUCGAAGGGAUUGUGUUGGAGACCUUACGUCUCCACCCUGUAGCUCCUACACUUGUUCCACAUAUGACGUCAGAUGAUUGCAUGUUGGCCGGAUACGAUGUUCCAAGUGGAUCCAUGCUAUUGGUGAACGUAUGGGCCAUGCAUAGAGACCCGUCUCUAUGGGAAGAUCCAGAAAUGUUCAAGCCAGAGAGGUUCGAAAAUGAAAAUGAAAAUCAAAAGGUGUUGUCGUUUGGGAUUGGACGACGAUCAUGUCCCGGGGUUGGAUUAACUCAUCGGCUAGUGAGCUUGGCUCUUGGAUCGAUGGUUCAAUGUUUCGAAUGGGAGAGAAUUGGAGAAGAAUAUAUUGACACUAGAGAGGCACCUAUGAUGCGUCCAACUACCCCGUUGCAAGCCAUGUGUAAAACUUGUCCCAUUGUCCAUAAGAUUCUCGAUGCUUAUGCUUGAAUUGUAACUCUUCUUGGUUUGAUUUAUGUUCGGAAAUACUACAUCAACUUGUUUUGAGUUGGGAAAUAAUUCAAAAUCCUUCUAAGAACGCUCUCAUGCAAACUGUUGAAUGUAUCUUCAAGGUUCUGAUCACCAUCUAGCUGAGUCUUUACGGAAAAUUAGAUCGUCACUAAAUAUUAUCAUUUUACCUUCGAAUAUAUUGAUUUUGUUGCCCUGAUGAUACACUUGAAAUAAAUAAAAAACAACCAUAGAGACACUCAAAUAAAAAAAAAGCUCAUAGCUUUAAAAUUUCUUGUAUAUUUUGAAACUAAAAUUAAGCUAUAUUACUUAUACUGAUAUUCCAUUUCUUCACAGUAUGAUCUAAUGAUUUUUGCAAUCCUCUAUGCUUUUGUUGUUGCAAUUAUACUUAUAUCUCCAUUUCAUUACAGUAUGAUAUAUAUAUAUAUAUAUAUAUUGUAAGUUUUGCAAUCCUCUACAUAUCAUUCUUCCCACAGCUCUAUCUGAAAAUUCCAUAUAUAUGUUCAACUUAUCUCUCUUCGUGUGUUGUGAAUUGUGUAUUAGAUUUGAGUAUUACAUUUGUACUUUUACAAUUCUUUUUUUUUUUUAUAAUCUUGAAGUGCUCUAGGAAUUAUAAUUAUUAUAUCAUGUUGGAUUUUUAAGAAUUUUGGUUUUUAUGAUAUUUUGUAAAAAAUUAGAGAGUGAUGUGUUUCUAGGGACAAAAGACGAAGACUUGAAAAAUCAACCCUCGUCUUUUUCCUCAUCGUCCCAUUAGAAAUCUCAGUUUUCUCUUCAAUCUUAUCUUCUUCCUCAGAAUCCUCUUCACAUCGACCACAGGUUUCUUCAUCCAUCGACUUAUUGAAAUUUCUUGUAGUAUAAGUUAAACCAAAAUGUGUGGAAACUAUUCAACACAAAAGACUUUUCACUCUCUUCUUUCAACGUGAAUAACACUUCGUACGAAGGACUAAAUGGUGAGCCAAGCGAAGCUGAGUGGAUAUGGAGCACUGACUAUAUGUAUUUAAAGAGAUGGCAUGAAAACAAUUUAACCAUCACAAUUUCCAUUUGCUCGCUUCUUUUUCACUAUUGAUUUUCAAGAAAGUUAAAAAUUAGCUUAAAGAAAAAACGAAAGGCUCUUGAAACUCAAUGAGUACCAUUCAUAUUUCUCUUUCUUUUCUCCUCUUGUUCGUUUUUAGUUUUCAUGACGUGUUUGCUGCUCCUACUAGACACUUGUGUCGUCCGGAGCAAAGGGAUGCACUUCUCGAGUUCAAGAAUGAGUUUGAGAUUCGGAAGCCUUCUUUUGAGUGUUAUGUUAAUGGUAGCUAUGUGCGCCCUUACCCGAAGACGGAGUCAUGGGCAAAUAACACUGAUUGUUGUUAUUGGGAUGGGAUCAAGUGCGAUGCCAAAUCUGGGGAAGUGAUCGAGCUAGACCUCAGUUGCAGCUGUCUCUACGGCAAGUUUCGUUCCAAUACCAGUCUGUUUAGGCUUCACAGCUUUCGUUUUCUCACCACUUUAUACGUUUCAUAUAAUGAGUUACAUGGUCAAAUCCCGUUCUCAAUUGGAAAUCUUUCUCUUCUUACUUCUCUCGACCUUUCUUCCAAUGGGUUUUCGGGUCAGAUUCCAUCUUCAAUUGGAAAUCUAUCACUGCUUACCUUUCUGAGACUUUCUGAUAAUCAGUUUUCGGGUCAGAUUCCAUCUUCAAUUGGAAAUCUUUCACAGAUUACCACUCUCCGUUUUUCCUUUAAUCAGUUUUCGGGUCAGAUUCCGUCUUCAAUUGGAAAUCUUUCACUUCUUACCUCUCUUGAUCUUUCUUCCAAUCAGUUUUCGGGUGAGAUUCCAUCUUCAAUUGGAAAUCUUUCACUGCUUACCUCUCUCUAUCUUUCUUUCAAUCAGUUUUUGGGUCAGAUUCCAUCAUCAAUUGGAAAUCUUUCACUGCUCACCUCUCUCCAUCUUUCUUAUAAUGGGUUUUCGGGUGAGAUUCUAUCAUCAAUUGGAAAUCUUUCACUGCUCACCUCUCUUCAUCUUUCUUAUAAUGGGUUUUCGGGUGAGAUUCCAUCCUCAAUUAAAAAUCUUUCACAGCUCACCUUUCUCAAACUUUCUUCCAAUCAGUUUUCGGGUCAGAUUCCAUCUUCAAUUAAAAAGCUCUCUCAUCUCCAAACUCUUCACCUCAGAUAUAACAAAUUCACUGGUGAAAUCCCAGAUUCUUUUGCCAGUUUGAAAAAUUUGACCGAGUUAGAUGUUAGUUUCAAUAAGCUUAGUGGUAAUUUUCCAAUUUGGCUACUAAAUUUGACAAAGUUGUCGUAUUUAUCACUCGAAUACAAUCAACUCACAGGAACGCUUCCCUCAAACAUUAGCUCACUCUCCAACUUGCGAUAUUUUUGGGCACGUGACAAUGAUUUCGUUGGAACCAUUCCUUCUUCUCUCUUCACCAUUCCUUCUUUGACAAGAAUUUAUUUGUCAAAUAACCAACUCAACGGCACUCUUGAGUUUGGGAAUAUAUCUUCACCAACAAAGCUAGAGUGGUUAGAGCUUGGCGGUAACAACUUGAGAGGGCCAAUACCGAGAUCCAUUUCCAAAUUAGUCAACCUCCGGGGACUUUACCUUUCCAAUUGGAACACCCAAUUAGGCCCAAUUGACUUGAGUAUCUUCUCGCAUCUCAAGUCACUCGGAUUUCUUUACUUAUCCCAUUUGAACACCACCACCACGAUUGACUUGAAUGCCAUCUUAUCAUUUUUCAAGUCGCUCGAAGGAUUGGAUCUCUCAGGCAACCAUGUUUCAGCCGAAACCAAGAGCUCAGUUUCAGAUCCUCCUUCGCAAAUGAUACGAGAAUUAAACUUGUCAGGCUGCGGUAUUACCGAAUUUCCAGAGAUCAUAAGAACCCUGCAGUCUAUGGAGAGACUAGACAUUUCCGACAACAAAAUCAAAGGUCAAGUGCCUGGCUGGUUAUGGACUCCACCAAAUCUGACGUACGUGAAUCUUUCCAACAACACUUUCGUCAGUUUCGGAAGACCAACGAAACAUGGACUAUCCUCUGGCUUGUGGUACUUGUCUGGCUCCAGAAACAAUUUCACGGGAAAGAUUCCCUCCUUCAUAUGUGCGUUGGGCUCUCUAAGCGUUCUCGAUUUAUCUGAAAACAACUUCACGGGAAAGAUUCCCUCCUUCAUAUGCGCGUUGGGCUCUCUAAGCGUUCUCGAUUUAUCUGAAAACAACUUCAAUGGUUCAAUCCCUCUUUGUAUGGAGAAUCUCAAGAGUAAUCUUUCGGUUCUAAACCUCCGUCAGAAUCAUCUUAGCGGAGGCCUUCCGGAGAAUGUAUUUGAAAGUCUAAGGUCCCUUGACGUUGGUCAUAACCAACUGGUGGGAAAGCUUCAAAGAUCUUUGAUCCAUUUCUCUGCCCUUGAAGUUCUAAAUCUGGAAAGCAACAGAUUCAACGACACCUUUCCGUUUUGGUUGAGUUCUCUACAAAACCUGCAAGUUCUUGUCUUACGCUCCAAUGCAUUCCAUGGACCGAUUCAUCGAGCCUCCUUCCUUCAGCUGAAAAUCAUGGACAUCUCGCAUAAUCACUUCAACGGAGUUUUACCGUCGGAUUACUUUGUGAACUGGAGUAAAAUGUCAUCACUUGGGACAGAAAAAGAUCGGUCGGAUGUAAACUACAUGGGAGAAGGUACCUAUUACGAAGAUUCAAUGGUUUUGAUGAAUAAAGGCUUAGAGAUGGAGCUGGUACGUAUAUUAAAAAUCUUCACAGCACUCGACUUCUCCGGAAAUAGAUUUGAAGGAGAGAUUCCAAGGUCCAUCGGCCUAUUGAGAGAGCUUCACGUGCUCAACUUGUCAAACAAUGCUUUCACUGGCCACAUUCCAUCAUCUAUGGGGAACCUGACAGCUCUCGAGUCACUUGACGUUUCCCAAAACAAGCUUUCAGGUGAGAUCCCACAAGAGCUAGGGAAUCUCUCGUACCUUUCUUCCAUGAACUUCUCUCAUAACCAGCUUGUCGGUCUAGUACCUGGAGGCACUCAGUUUCGAACGCAGCCUUGCUCUUCCUUCGAACACAACUCAGGACUUUUUGGCCCUUCUCUUGACGAAGUUUGCAAAGAUAUCCACAAGCCAUCAUCGCAAGAGUAUGAAACACCGGAGGAGGCAGAGGAAGAAGACGAAGAGGUGUUUAGUUGGAUUGCAGCUGCAAUAGGAUUUGGACCUGGCAUUGUAUUAGGAUUGACGAUUGGAUACAUAUUGGCCUUCUACAAACCGAGGUGGUUCACGAGUCCUUUUGGCCGAAACAAACACAGAAGCAGAAGCACCACAGCUCAUUAAGUGAGGUAAUCUUCUGAAUUUCAUAGAUUAUAGACUAUGUAUAGUAUAAUGAAUUUUUCUGGGUUAAUGUAUACUGUAUGUGAAAAUUAACUUUUUACGCCGUUUUUGUUUGUAUAGCGUUCUUAAACCCAAGAUGAAAAAUCUUUGAAAAAGAGAAUGAAGCAACCAGACCAUAGGACUGUAGAGAAAGAAGCUUGGGGAGAAGGCAACCCAUUUUAUCAAAAACUAAAUAUCAGUGAUUGUUUCCGGUUUAGUUUUGUGUGUUUAUCAUAUACUCUGUUUUUAGCCAAUGUUUUUGUUUCUCUGUAAUUGAACAAUGAAAGACUGUUUACAAAGCUCAAACUUAUUCCUAUUUCUCUGUGAUUGGACAUGAUUUGAGAGAGGUUAUAAUGCUCUUGCUCCGACUAAAUCAAUCAUUCUUCUGCCAAAUGAAGAACUAAGAUUCAACACACAUCUCAGAAAAUUGAUCCUUUUUCUCUUUUGGUAAUAUUAAUUAGCUGAGUAAAAUGAUAACUUAAUUAGUUUAUUGAAAGAUAUUUCACUGAGAAAUAUAUUAGUUAGUGGCGAUCAGGAUCAGCGACCAAUUAAAGCUAUAGAUAUAGUUGCUUAAAACCCAAGCUUUGCCAUUACAAUGAGGAAAAAAAAUCAUCUCACAAAUCAUUCCACUUUCCAACUACUGAAACUCUACAAUAGUCAAAUGACUCAAAUCGGAAUAAGAAAGUUAUACAUACACACAUAAUUUAAGGUCACAAUGACAAAAUCGUCGGUCUUACCAAAAAGAGUAUAAGUAUUCAUCAAAAGACAUCUUCUAAAAUGAAUUAUAUUAAAAAAAUUUGGUGAAAACAAACAAGAAAUUUUUACUGCUUAAUUAUUUUUGUUUUUAAAAACCAAAAGGUAAAUGGAAGUCGCUCUAAUUUUUACUUAUAAACCAAAACAAGAAAUUUUCAGUUAUAUCGUUCUAAGAUGAUGCAAUUGAUAGUAUAAUCUAUACGACUCUAUACUCCACUGAUACUUUUUCGUUUUUAAGCAGACAACUUUUCAGAGUACAAAUCUUUUGUUAUUUUUAUUCCUGGGAGAUGUAUAUCCUAUAAACAAAACUGUGUUAAAUGGAAGGACUUCAUGGACACCAAAACCAGAGGAGAAACGAAGACAGACGGUUUAGAAAUAUUUUGAUCACAUCCAAAAAAUAUAAUUCGAUAUUUUUUAUCAGAUUAAAGAAAAAACGUAUCAUUUUGAUCACAUCACAAAGUCAGUGCAAAAUCACAUCCAAAAAACUGUGAUAAUUUUGAUCACAUCACAAAGUCAGUGCAAAAUCAUAUAAAAAAAAUUCGAAUAAAGAAAAAACGUAUCAUGCCAAACGAAACCAAACAAAUAAAUAGAUAACAGUUGACUGACCGAGUCAGUCAUGGACAAAAACGAAGACUUGAAAAGUCAACUCCGGUCUUCUUCCUUAUUGUCCCACCAAUAAUUUACUUUUUUUCCUUCAAUCUCAUCUUCUUCCUCAAUCCUCUGAACAUCGACCACAUAUUUCUUCAUCCAUUGACCUCAAAACUUGACUUUCAUAGUUUCACUAUUGACUCUCUUUCUUUCUCUCUCUCUCUCUAGAUUUUCCAACAAAGCUAUGGAGAAACUCUGUUUUCGAAACUCAUUUUCUCUCUUUAUGACGACUGUGGUCAUUAUUCUUCUUCCUCGUUGCACUCUUUCUGCUACUUCUAUAUAUUCUCAUCGUCCCGAGAAGUUUUACGUCAACUGUGGGUCGGAUUCUAUUGUCACUUAUGGUGGUCGGACCUUCGUCGGAGAUAUGAUCUCCGGUGGCAACUCCGUUUCUUUCAACAGUAAAGGAACUGAAGCCAUCAAUCAAUCAGGAUCAGGAAUCUAUGAAACGGUUAGGAUAUUCAGACGCCCUUCUUCUUACAAGUUCCAACUCGAUUCCAUUGGUCUGCACUUCGUGCGUCUCCAUUUCUCUGCUGUCUCUUCUCGGACAGAGCUUUUAACUGCUCGUUUCACAGUCUCAGCUACUUCUCACUUGAAAAGUUUCUCGCUUCAGAAUUUCAAUGAGACCCCACGAGUUGAGGAGUUUCUCCUGAUGAUUGACUCGCCAGAAUUCGAAAUUCGAUUUGUGCCCGAUCAUUCAUCCAUGGCUUUUGUCAACGCCAUCGAAGUGUUCUCUGCUCCUAAUGACCUAGAAAUUCCGUCAGACUCCGACAAGAAUCUGCAUACGGUUUACAGAUUAAACGUAGGAGGCAAGAAGAUCACACCAGAAAACGACACCUUGGGAAGAACUUGGUCAGUUGACGAGGACUUCCUCUACGAAAAAGAUUCUGCGAGGAACAUUAAUUCAACACAAAAGCCUAACUACGAGUCAGGGACAGCGACGCCAUUCACUGCUCCUGAUUUUGUCUAUCAGACAGCGAAAACGAU
This 15244-nucleotide long non-coding RNA is filed under the name Eutrema salsugineum. Its description in RNAcentral is "long non-coding RNA (ESAL_LNC001441)". Lineage: Eukaryota; Viridiplantae; Streptophyta; Magnoliopsida; Brassicales; Brassicaceae. The record is from RNAcentral.